CCUCAAGGCAGUUAUCAUUUUUCCCACUUUAAAGUUGAGAGAGUUGAGAUUCAGAGAUAAUAAGCAACAUGUCCAAGGUCAUGUUAUAGUACAUGGUGGAGCCAGAACUCAAAUGCACGUUCCCUUCAUUUCAGAGCCUGUGCUCUUUCUGUCACCUUACUGCUUUCACAACUGCACUGUUCUAACUGUGCUUUCUGGGAUGUUUUGCUGAAUCGUUGCCAUAGGGCCCAGAUAGGCAGAAGAGGAAUGUUGUGAAAAGUGCUCCUUUGAGGCAGAUCCUGACCUACUGCAGUGAUCUUUCCCUAGAGAAGACUCACAGAACUGGCAAUCAUUGCACCAGGAGAGAUGAAUUGCUUUGCUCUGAAGUACAGAAAUCUACCCAAUGACACGGCACCCCACACACAACAAGGAGAUGUGUACAAAUAUCUAGUUCAUACAAUUUCAAUCAAGGUAUUUUUCUAACCCAGACUUUAUCAUUUAUCCUGUUUCAAAAUGCUUAUUAAUCUUUUAUUCUUCCUUUGGAAAUACAGAAUCACCUAGCCAACAUGAAAUCAUUGUUCUACCUUUCCUCUUCCUUUAAUAUGAUUAAUAUUUAUUGAGUGUCAACUGUGUCAAGUACUCAAAACGUGUUUCUAACUUUUUUUACUCAUUUAUUUUAUUUGACAGUUUUGUGGGGUAUAUAUUAACACAUUCUCAGGAUAGCAAAUAAAUUUUAUUUU
Molecule: long non-coding RNA, 719 nt
Filed under: Homo sapiens (human)
Lineage: Eukaryota; Metazoa; Chordata; Mammalia; Primates; Hominidae
Description: HSALNT0385693
Source: RNAcentral